This 1464-nucleotide ribosomal RNA is filed under the name Escherichia coli. RNAcentral describes it as "partial 23S ribosomal RNA". It matches the Rfam family "Bacterial large subunit ribosomal RNA", at positions 796 to 2241 of the family's 2925-position model. The record is from RNAcentral. Lineage: Bacteria; Pseudomonadati; Pseudomonadota; Gammaproteobacteria; Enterobacterales; Enterobacteriaceae.
AUUAGCGGAUGACUUGUGGCUGGGGGUGAAAGGCCAAUCAAACCGGGAGAUAGCUGGUUCUCCCCGAAAGCUAUUUAGGUAGCGCCUCGUGAAUUCAUCUCCGGGGGUAGAGCACUGUUUCGGCAAGGGGGUCAUCCCGACUUACCAACCCGAUGCAAACUGCGAAUACCGGAGAAUGUUAUCACGGGAGACACACGGCGGGUGCUAACGUCCGUCGUGAAGAGGGAAACAACCCAGACCGCCAGCUAAGGUCCCAAAGUCAUGGUUAAGUGGGAAACGAUGUGGGAAGGCCCAGACAGCCAGGAUGUUGGCUUAGAAGCAGCCAUCAUUUAAAGAAAGCGUAAUAGCUCACUGGUCGAGUCGGCCUGCGCGGAAGAUGUAACGGGGCUAAACCAUGCACCGAAGCUGCGGCAGCGACACUAUGUGUUGUUGGGUAGGGGAGCGUUCUGUAAGCCUGUGAAGGUGGCCUGUGAGGGUUGCUGGAGGUAUCAGAAGUGCGAAUGCUGACAUAAGUAACGAUAAAGCGGGUGAAAAGCCCGCUCGCCGGAAGACCAAGGGUUCCUGUCCAACGUUAAUCGGGGCAGGGUGAGUCGACCCCUAAGGCGAGGCCGAAAGGCGUAGUCGAUGGGAAACAGGUUAAUAUUCCUGUACUUGGUGUUACUGCGAAGGGGGGACGGAGAAGGCUAUGUUGGCCGGGCGACGGUUGUCCCGGUUUAAGCGUGUAGGCUGGUUUUCCAGGCAAAUCCGGAAAACCAAGGCUGAGGCGUGAUGACGAGGCACUACGGUGCUGAAGCGACAAAUGCCCUGCUUCCAGGAAAAGCCUCUAAGCAUCAGGUAACAUCAAAUCGUACCCCAAACCGACACAGGUGGUCAGGUAGAGAAUACCAAGGCGCUUGAGAGAACUCGGGUGAAGGAACUAGGCAAAAUGGUGCCGUAACUUCGGGAGAAGGCACGCUGAUAUGUAGGUGAAGCGACUUGCUCGUGGAGCUGAAAUCAGUCGAAGAUACCAGCUGGCUGCAACUGUUUAUUAAAAACACAGCACUGUGCAAACACGAAAGUGGACGUAUACGGUGUGACGCCUGCCCGGUGCCGGAAGGUUAAUUGAUGGGGUUAGCGGUAACGCGAAGCUCUUGAUCGAAGCCCCGGUAAACGGCGGCCGUAACUAUAACGGUCCUAAGGUAGCGAAAUUCCUUGUCGGGUAAGUUCCGACCUGCACGAAUGGCGUAAUGAUGGCCAGGCUGUCUCCACCCGAGACUCAGUGAAAUUGAACUCGCUGUGAAGAUGCAGUGUACCCGCGGCAAGACGGAAAGACCCCGUGAACCUUUACUAUAGCUUGACACUGAACAUUGAGCCUUGAUGUGUAGGAUAGGUGGGAGGCUUUGAAGUGUGGACGCCAGUCUGCAUGGAGCCGACCUUGAAAUACCACCCUUUAAUGUUUGAUGUUCUAACGUUGGCCCGUAAUCC